This 1115-nucleotide ribosomal RNA is filed under the name Nereiospora comata. Its description in RNAcentral is "SSU rRNA". It matches the Rfam family "Eukaryotic small subunit ribosomal RNA", at positions 27 to 1154 of the family's 1831-position model. The record is from RNAcentral. Lineage: Eukaryota; Fungi; Ascomycota; Sordariomycetes; Microascales; Halosphaeriaceae.
UAUGCUUGUCUCAAAGAUUAAGCCAUGCAUGUCUAAGUAUAAGCAAUUAUACCGCGAAACUGCGAAUGGCUCAUUAUAUAAGUUAUCGUUUACUUGAUAGCACAUUACUACUUGGAUACCCGUGGUAAUUCUAGAGCUAAUACAUGCUAAAAAUCCCAACUUCGGAAGGGAUGUAUUUAUUAGAUUAAAAACCAAUGCCCUCUGGGCUUGCUGGUGAUUCAUGAUAACUUCUCGAAUCGCAUGGCCUUGCGCCGGCGAUGGUUCAUUCAAAUUUCUUCCCUAUCAACUUUCGAUGCGAAGGUAUUGUCUUCGCAUGGUUACGACGGGUAACGGAGGGUUAGGGCUCGACCCCGGAGAAGGAGCCUGAGAAACGGCUACUACAUCCAAGGAAGGCAGCAGGCGCGCAAAUUACCCAAUCCCGACACGGGGAGGUAGUGACAAUAAAUACUGAUACAGGGCUCUUUUGGGUCUUGUAAUUGGAAUGAGUACAAUUUAAAUCCCUUAACGAGGAACAAUUGGAGGGCAAGUCUGGUGCCAGCAGCCGCGGUAAUUCCAGCUCCAAUAGCGUAUAUUAAAGUUGUUGUGGUUAAAAAGCUCGUAGUUGAACCUUGGGCCUGGCUGGCCGGUCCCCCUCACCGGGUGCACUGAUCCAGCCGGGUCUUUCCCUCUGUGGAACCCCAUGGCCUUCACUGGUCGUGGCGGGGAAACAGGACUUUUACUUUGAAAAAAUUAGAGUGCUCCAGGCAGGCCUAUGCUCGAAUACAUUAGCAUGGAAUAAUGGAAUAGGACGUGUGGUUCUAUUUUGUUGGUUUCUAGGACCGCCGUAAUGAUUAAUAGGGACAGUCGGGGGCAUCAGUAUUCAAUUGUCAGAGGUGAAAUUCUUGGAUCUAUUGAAGACUAACUACUGCGAAAGCAUUUGCCAAGGAUGUUUUCAUUGAUAAGGAACGAAAGUUAGGGGAUCGAAGACGAUCAGAUACCGUCGUAGUCUUAACUAUAAACUAUGCCGACUAGGGAUCGGACGAUGUUAUUUUUUGACUCGUUCGGCACCUUUCGAGAAAUCAAAGUGCUUGGGCUCCAGGGGGAGUAUGGUCGCAAGGCUGAAACUUAAAGGAAUU